UCUACACUCCAGUCCAGUUGUUGGUGGUAAUGCAUCUUAAAGUUGGUGGCCUACUGCUAUAUAAAGUACGAAGAAGCCUGAAGGAGGAGAGAUUACUAGAAAACAAACGUUUACCUGUGGAUUAAUUGUCGGAGUAGAAGACUUUGUGCAUUUCAGGUAAAUGGUAAUAUGCUCUAAACCGCUCUGGUGACAAACUUUGCUGCCUUGUUUCCAAUCGUCCACAUGGCUGCGAGAACCUAUUCAAGUAAGUAAAUCCAUUUCAAGUGUAAACUAUAUUAUUAGCUACAGUGCAGUCUAACUCAAAUGAGCUGCUAACGUAACUAGCUAGCUAUCUAGCCAACUUUACACUGCAAGGUUUGGUGACCAGGGCCAUCUGGGACUGCCUCCUGAGGGCCUUCAGGCGUGUCAAGGCUACCUGUGUCCUGCAUAACUUAAUGGACACGAGGACCAGGAGGGGGAUCUACAGCUUGCCGCCGUGUGCCAGAGGAGAGGUCUACAGGAUGCUUCAAGGAUGGGGGCAAACAACUCAGCACAGGAGGCAAUCCAUGUGCGGGAGAUCUUCACCACCUUCAAAGAGGGUGCUGUUCCCUGUCAACACCAUAGACUACACUAUGCACAACCAAAUGCUCUUAAGAGCCAUCCACAUUGCAAUAAGAGUAUUCUUCCAUUUACUUAGCUAUGUCAACUGCAGUUAUUCAAUUCCAGGUUUUUUUCCUUUUGAUUUCUACUUCAGGUGAGGGUGCUGCCUGUACAAAAACAAAAAAGGCUCUUUCAAGAGUCGCCCAUAUUGAGAACAAUUACACACAUCUCUCGUCUCCAGGUAGGUUCUGAUGUGAGAGGAUAAACUGGGUGCCCGAGGCUGUUCGGAGACAUGGCCAGAGACACUUAUGUAUCUGUGAUAAACAGAGAAUAUUAGGGUAACCCUGUAAUUCAUGAAUCAUAUGCUGUCUUCCCUGUUCCUCUCUUCUUACGACUUUGUCUCUCUCAUACCUCUCCCCAACUUCCUUUUCAUCUGUUUUUAUAGUGGCCGCCAGAUGUGGCCGCCAGAUGUGCAUUGAAGUACAGAUUGAACAUUUUUAUUUAGCAUAUAUUACAUUUAUAAUGCAUGUAUUUAUAACACUUGGAUAAUGAACUUUCAGUAAAGCGUUUCACGUUCUCUACUGGUUGAAAUGAAGUCUCGUUUGAUGACCAACUACACCUAUCCUGUGUUUAUCAGAUCAAUGCAGAAGAAGUGUUUGCUAUUGAGAUGAACUAGUUGUAUAGUAGUUACAUGAUGCAAAGGAAGUGUAGUGUACUGUUUUUAAAUCAAAUUUAAAAAAUCUGUUUCUGUAUAUAUGAAUUAUAAAUCCACCUUUAACUAAA
This is a long non-coding RNA of Oncorhynchus kisutch (coho salmon), 1362 nucleotides long. RefSeq lists it as uncharacterized. The record is from RefSeq and is a predicted model, not a curated record. Lineage: Eukaryota; Metazoa; Chordata; Actinopteri; Salmoniformes; Salmonidae. The transcript has 2 exons.